RNAcentral lists this long non-coding RNA (1213 nucleotides) under Anser cygnoides (Swan goose). RNAcentral's name for it is "lncRNA (ENSACDG00005008189.1)". Lineage: Eukaryota; Metazoa; Chordata; Aves; Anseriformes; Anatidae. The record is from RNAcentral.
UGAUGGGAAGGGUUCAAGGAUUGAGAUAAGGGCAGGGAGAUCACAAUUACCGUCACGGGCAAAAAAAAUUCAGCAUAGGGAGAUUAAUGUAAUUUAUUGACUGUAACUGGCAGACUAGAACAGUGAGGAACUAAAAUCAAACUAAAAACAUCUUCCCCCCUAUCCACCUAUCCUCUACAUCCUCCCCCUGAGCAGCGUAGGGGAAUGGGGAAUGGGGGCAGUCCAUAACAUUUCAUCUCCGCCACUCCUUCACGGUCACUCUCUUCCCCUACUCCAACGUGGGGUCCCUCCCAUGGGAUGUAGUCCUUCCCAAACUGAUCCUGCAUGGACUUGCCAGAGGCAGCAGCUCUUCAAGAACUGCUCCAAAUAUGGGUCUGUACCAUGGAGUCCAUCCAUUAGUAGCAAACUGCUCCAACAUGGGUUGCCCGUGGGCGGCAGCGCCUGCCAGGUCACCUGCUCCUACGCGGGCUCCUCUCCACAGGCUACAGGUCCAGCCUGGAGCCUGCUCCUGUGGGGGCUCUCCAUGGGCCUCAGCCUCCUUCGGGUCAGAUCCACCUGCUCCACCGUGGGCUCCUCCAUGGGCUGCAGAAUGGAAAUCUACUCCACCGUGGUACACCAUGGGCUACAGGGGGACAACCUGCUUCACCAUGGUCCUCUCCACAGGCCGCAGGGGAACUUCAGCUCUGGCGCCUGGAGCACCUCCUCCCCCUCCUCCUGCACUGACCUUGGUGUCUGCAGGGCUGUUUCUCACUCCUCUCUCUCCCAGCUGCUGUUGCGCAGCAGUUUUUUUCCCUUUCUUAAAUCUGCUCUGACGGAGGCGCAACCAACGUUGCUUAUUGGCUCAGCUCUUGCCAGCGACAGGUUCCUUUUGGAGCCGGCUGAAACUGGCCCUUAUCUAACAUGGGGCAGCUUCUGGAUUCUUCUCACAGAGGCCACCCCUGCAGCCCCCCUGCUACCAAGCCCAUGCCACACAAAACCAUUACAACGGUAUGGAAGUUGGCCUUUGGCCAGUUUGGGUCAGCUGUUGUGGCUGUGCCCCUCCCACCCUCCUGUGCACCCCCAGCCUCUUUGCUGGCAGGGCAGCAUGAGAAGCAGAAAAGUCCUUGGCUUAGUGUAAGCACUGCUCUGCAACAACUAAAACAUCAGUGUGUUAUCAGCAUUAUUCUCACCCUAAAUCCAAAACACAGCACCAUACCAGUUACUAGUAAGAAAA